AAUAUUGGACAAUGGGGGCAACCCUGAUCCAGCCAUGCCGCGUGUGUGAAGAAGGUCUNCGGAUUNUNAAGCACUUUAAGUUGGGNGGAAGGGCUUUAGGUUAAUACCCUGAAGUUUGGACGGUACCAACAGAAUAAGCACCGGCCACCUCUGUGCCAGCAGCCGCGGUAAUACAGAGGGUGCAAGCGUUAAUCGGAAUUACUGGGCGUAAAGCGCGCGUAGGUGGUUCAGUAAGAGUGGUGUGAAAUACCCUGGCUUAACCUGGGAACUGCUUUCAUAAAUGCUGAGCUAGAGUACGGUAGAGUGUAGUGGAAUUUCCUGUGUAGCGGUGAAAUGCGUAGAUAUAGGAAGGAAAACCAGUGGCGAAGGCGACUACCUGGACUGAUACUGACACUGAGGUGCGAAAGCGUGGGGAGCAAAC
RNAcentral lists this ribosomal RNA (421 nucleotides) under uncultured bacterium. Its description in RNAcentral is "partial 16S ribosomal RNA". It matches the Rfam family "Bacterial small subunit ribosomal RNA", at positions 360 to 773 of the family's 1533-position model. The record is from RNAcentral.